This 312-nucleotide long non-coding RNA is filed under the name Elaeis guineensis (African oil palm). RNAcentral's name for it is "long non-coding RNA (EGUI_LNC063618)". Lineage: Eukaryota; Viridiplantae; Streptophyta; Magnoliopsida; Arecales; Arecaceae. The record is from RNAcentral.
UCUUACCUUAGGGUCUGGUUGUGUCCGAUUUAUGCCAAACAUUUGCAAAUCGAUAAACUUGAACCCUGGUCCGAUAAGUGUGAUUUUGUAGGCUACCCCAAAAAAACUAAGGAAUAUUACUUCUACUUUGCUAAAGAAUAAAUAUUGUUUGGCAUUCUUUUUAGAAAAGAAGUUUCUUGAUGAAGGAACUAAUUCCUCUAAUAUUGAACUUAUGAAGUUUGACAGAUAGAUGAAUAGAUACAAUCUAGUGAAUUCAUAAAAUCAGAUUUGACUACAUCAAACCUGAAAUCUAUUGUGGAGGCACUAUUAAGG